This 123-nucleotide non-coding RNA is filed under the name chicken gut metagenome. Its description in RNAcentral is "FMN riboswitch (RFN element)". It matches the Rfam family "FMN riboswitch aptamer (RFN element)". Rfam says of the family: The RFN element is a highly conserved domain that is found frequently in the 5'-untranslated regions of prokaryotic mRNAs that encode for flavin mononucleotide (FMN) biosynthesis and transport proteins. This element is a metabolite-dependent riboswitch that directly binds FMN in the absence of proteins. The record is from RNAcentral.
UGUCUUCAGGGCGGGGUGUGAUUCCCCACCGGCGGUGAUGCGGCAGAUUUGCCGACAAGCCCGCGAGCGAAAGUUGAGGCGGUGAGAUUCCGCGGCCGACGGUAUAGUCCGGAUGAAAGAAGA